This 366-nucleotide ribosomal RNA is filed under the name uncultured organism. RNAcentral describes it as "bacterial SSU rRNA". It matches the Rfam family "Bacterial small subunit ribosomal RNA", at positions 527 to 896 of the family's 1533-position model. The record is from RNAcentral.
GGAGGAUCCAAGCGUUAUCCGGAAUCAUUGGGUUUAAAGGGUCCGUAGGCGGCCUUGUAAGUCAGUGGUGAAAUCUCCCGCUCAACGGGGAAACUGCCAUUGAUACUGCAGGGCUUGAAUUAUUGGGAAGUAACUAGAAUAUGUAGUGUAGCGGUGAAAUGCUUAGAGGUUACAUGGAAUACCAAUUGCGAAGGCAGGUUACUACCAAUGGAUUGACGCUGAUGGACGAAAGCGUGGGUAGCGAACAGGAUUAGAUACCCUGGUAGUCCACGCCGUAAACGAUGGAUACUAGCUGUUCGGUAGCAAUACUGAGUGGUUAAGCGAAAGUGAUAAGUAUCCCACCUGGGGAGUACGUUCGCAAGAAUG